RNAcentral lists this ribosomal RNA (449 nucleotides) under Lancefieldella parvula. RNAcentral's name for it is "bacterial SSU rRNA". It matches the Rfam family "Bacterial small subunit ribosomal RNA", at positions 28 to 489 of the family's 1533-position model. The record is from RNAcentral. Lineage: Bacteria; Bacillati; Actinomycetota; Coriobacteriia; Coriobacteriales; Atopobiaceae.
GAUGAACGCUGGCGGCGCGCCUAACACAUGCAAGUCGAACGAUUAAAGCACCUUCGGGUGUGUAUAAAGUGGCGAACGGCUGAGUAACACGUGGGCAACCUGCCCCUCUCAUUGGGAUAGCCACGGGAAACCGUGGAUAAUACCGAAUACUUCGAGACUUCCGCAUGGAAGACUCGAGAAAGCUCCGGCGGAGAGGGAUGGGCCCGCGGCCUGUUAGCUUGUUGGUGGGGUAACGGCCUACCAAGGCAAUGAUGGGUAGCUGGGUUGAGAGACCGACCAGCCAGAUCGGGACUGAGACACGGCCCAGACUCCUACGGGAGGCAGCAGUGGGGAAUCUUGCACAAUGGGCGAAAGCCUGAUGCAGCGACGCCGCGUGCGGGAUGAAGGCCUUCGGGUUGUAAACCGCUUUCAGCAGGGACGAGGCGAAAGUGACGGUACCUGCAGAAGAA